UUGAAAGCAGACUUUCGGCCGCCGAAGGUAAUGUUCGGCCGCCGAAAGUGCCUGACUUUCGUCUCUGGAGAGAGGGUUCGGCCGCCGAAGGUGCCGCCGAACCUACCCGAGUUUCGUCUCUGGAGGAGACUUUCGGCCGCCGAAGGUGCCGCCGAAAGUGCCUGUCCAGCCUUUUCAUGGCUGUUUUCUAUGCAUGUUUCAGUGAUGUUUAGAGGGGUUUUUGGGUAGUUGCUUAUGAGUUGUUAGAAUGUGUUUAGUACCUCAUGUGAGUCCAUCUGUGUAGGAUUGGACCUGAGGAGAGGUGUCUAGCUUCAGUGCUAGUUGACCCUGAGUUUGUUGAGCAGUGGCUUCAGGUGAGUAGAACUAAACCAAAUCUUUCAUUUUAAGAAAAUCAAUGCCUAAAGCAUGUUCAUGCAUCAUGAUUAUAUGUAGUAGGUUGAUUGCACUAGUCUCACGAAUAUGACGCAUUGCAUUACUUGAUGUUGAUGGAGGAAGGGUGGACCGAGGCGACUUCAAUAGCCCAUAUCUGUCACGCGUCUUGUCUUAGUCCUUUGAGAGCCGGACAAGUACAUGUAGGAAAGUCCAUGUGAGCUCUCUGUGGACCAGACACCAUGUCAUGUAUGUUACAGGCCUUUGUGAGCUCCUAUGGGGGAGCCGGGCACCGACAGAGGGAUUUUUGAUGUCAUGUCCAUCCUCUGAGAGGAAAGAUGCAUGCAAAAAGACAGACUCUCAGAAACCAGGGUCCGUGGGGAGUAAAUAUUGCAU
This 765-nucleotide long non-coding RNA is filed under the name Manihot esculenta (cassava). Its description in RNAcentral is "long non-coding RNA (MESC_LNC001602)". Lineage: Eukaryota; Viridiplantae; Streptophyta; Magnoliopsida; Malpighiales; Euphorbiaceae. The record is from RNAcentral.